This 235-nucleotide long non-coding RNA is filed under the name Carica papaya (papaya). RNAcentral describes it as "long non-coding RNA (CPAP_LNC014058)". The record is from RNAcentral. Lineage: Eukaryota; Viridiplantae; Streptophyta; Magnoliopsida; Brassicales; Caricaceae.
AUGGGAAACAGGAAGGGGCUCAUUGGAGGCGGUUACAGAUUUUGCAUGCGACGACGGUGUCGAUCUUUGCCCGCGAUUUUUGAUUCACCCAUCAUUUGUUUUGCUCUGAUAUAGCCACAGGGGGUGCUUGGAAUUAAAUUUCGAGCGGGUAGGAUAAUUUUUUCCUUUUUUGGCGGUCGGAGGUAGCUCUGGAGCGGGGACGGGCAGCAGUUGACUUCUUUCUCCGGCGACUGGU